UACGUAGGAGGCGAGCGUUGUCCGGAGUUACUGGGCGUAAAGGGUGCGCAGGCGGCGGUUCGCGUGGAUAGAUGAAAUCUCCUGGCUUACCUGGGAGGAUGGUAUCCAGACGGGAUCGCUUGAGGGUCGGAGAGGGGCGUGGAAUUCCGGGUGGAGCGGUGAAAUGCGCAGAUAUCAGGAGGAACACCGAUGGCGAAGGCAGGUCUCUGGGCCACUACUGACGCUGGAGAAGCGAAAGCAUGGGGAGCGAACAGG
RNAcentral lists this ribosomal RNA (255 nucleotides) under uncultured bacterium. Its description in RNAcentral is "partial 16S ribosomal RNA". It matches the Rfam family "Bacterial small subunit ribosomal RNA", at positions 524 to 776 of the family's 1533-position model. The record is from RNAcentral.